This 1954-nucleotide long non-coding RNA is filed under the name Bemisia tabaci. RNAcentral's name for it is "lncRNA ENSSSA1NGG014099". The record is from RNAcentral. Lineage: Eukaryota; Metazoa; Arthropoda; Insecta; Hemiptera; Aleyrodidae.
AAAUUUAGUUUUAUCAAACGUUUCGCUGGACCAAUUAAGAAGAGAGAAUCAGCCUCUUCUGAUAAAACUGGUGAAUGUUCGUUCAAUUCUAGUGAGGACUCAGACACUCCAAUCAACAGUGAAGAUGAUAUCCCCACUAAAUUUGCUACAGAAAGUCUUAAAACCCUCGACCCACGCCCCCAGAACAGAAACCUCAAAUGCAAAGCCACCAGCUCUGGCUCGAGCAAAAGUCUGCCGAACAAUGACACGAAUAGAUCUAAAAAUACUCCUUCUGAAGAUAAGAUUCCGUCCAACUCCAAGCAAGUAAAUAAUGCUCCUCCUAGUAAUAGUGAGACACCAAAUCUUGAUCAUAGUGAUAAGCCCUGUUCUGCCUCAAUUUUUGAUUGUAACAGUCAAUUUGAUAAUGAAGUGACUUCCAGUCAGGAUAUCCUCCCUGAUAUUCCCUUGAAAACGGACUAUAUCGUUCUCUCCCCAGUGAUGGAUGAUAUAAAUCAGUUGACUCCCGAUGACAUCGGUGCUUUGUCGCAAGGAGUUGUUAGUACCGAUGGAGGAAUUUUCGAUUCUGUUGCAUCCGGUUUCCAACGUUUGUCCCAAAGUCUCUUUGGAUCCCAAGAUAUAAAUUUUACCUCUUAAUCUCUCAAAGAUUCCAUAAUUGACUCUAUCUUAAUAUUACUAUUUUUAUAAAUUCCUUACACUGAAUCUCUUUUUAUUAAUAAUGGCGAAUUUCUGUUUCAUAGAAAGCUAGGUUUAAACUCUAACUCAAAUCGUUUCUUCAUGAUACAUAUUUUCAUUCUGUUUUUGUGUGUCAAAAAGAUAGUCAUCAAGGCCAUCAUGAUGUUCGCAACUUUUUCUAAAAUUAUGAUUUUUCGGUUUUUUUUUUCUAUUGUUCCCUACCUAAGUACCUUUCUUAGGAAGAAGCACUAAACUUGUAUUUAGUUUUGAAAUUAUGUAAGAGUUUCCUAAUAAUAUUAGUGUAAUAAGUUUUCUUAUCAAAUUCAUAAAGUUGUCACGACCAUUAUUUUAUCAUUUCCCAGAACUAUAACUUUCAGUAUUUUAUUAAUUUUUUUACUCUGUAUUUAGUUAUUUUUUUACUCAGUAUUUAAUUUUUUGUACUACUCCUUACGAAUUUUUGGUUACAAUAUUGUUAAAUGAAACACUAUGUGUUCAAGUAUGAAAAAAUAUUGUUAAAAUGAAACACUGUUCGUUCAAGUAUGAAAAGCAAACUCCCUCAGAGUACCUGACUUAGUUUGUAUUAACUUUCAGGUACUUAAAGCAACGAACCUGUGAAGGUAUGUUUCAACCACGUUUAUCUCCUACCUUUAAAUACAAGUGUCACAAUCAUCAUUUUAAAUAGUCUUUUCAGAUGUGCCUUUCAAAAUAAACAAAAUAUUUUCUUUGCUUAUUCCUUUGUCUCUCUCUCCUUGCAUCUAAGUUUAAGUAAGGAUAAUCAUCUAGCAAAUAAUAAUAUGAACCAAUAUUUGAGAUGUCCAGUUCCUCAGAGAGUGGUGAAAACAGGAACUAUUAUAUGUAUUUGGACUUUAUGAUGUUUCCCCUAAUUUUUUAAAAAGAAACUUAUCGAAAUCAUUCCCUAAAACUUAGAGUGGUUUUUUCUCGCACUUUUUAGAUUACUUCCCAAGAAUUUCUUUGGUGCUUUUUGCCCCCCCCCCUCUUGUAAUGAGAUCAGGUUACCCUUAUUUGUGAAAUACAUAUUUACUGCCUUCUGUUAAUAUUUAACAGCCUGGGAUGUCUUCCAUAUACAAACUUAGAACUUCUCUCAAGCUCUCAACUCUCAAAAUUUGUUGAUGCUCCUAGUAAAAAAUAACGUAAAAUGAGACCUUCAACUUCUUAAAGAAAUAGGUACCUAGUUCAAAUCAAUCUCUUUGAUCCCAAGUGUGCUCUUUCCAUUAUUUGUCCAUACUGUACCCACUGGUCCAGUGUACAGGGAAUAGAAGAG